RNAcentral lists this transfer RNA (67 nucleotides) under Anomaloglossus baeobatrachus. Its description in RNAcentral is "tRNA-Arg". It matches the Rfam family "tRNA". From Rfam's summary of the family: Transfer RNA (tRNA) molecules are approximately 80 nucleotides in length. Their secondary structure includes four short double-helical elements and three loops (D, anti-codon, and T loops). Further hydrogen bonds mediate the characteristic L-shaped molecular structure. tRNAs have two regions of fundamental functional importance: the anti-codon, which is responsible for specific mRNA codon recognition, and the 3' end, to which the tRNAs corresponding amino acid is attached (by aminoacyl-tRNA synthetases). tRNAs cope with the degeneracy of the genetic code in two manners: having more than one tRNA (with a specific anti-codon) for a particular amino acid; and 'wobble' base-pairing, i.e. permitting non-standard base-pairing at the 3rd anti-codon position. The record is from RNAcentral. Lineage: Eukaryota; Metazoa; Chordata; Amphibia; Anura; Aromobatidae.
GAAGUGUUAGUCUAAAAAGACAGUUGAUUUCGACUCAACAGAUUAUGGUUUAACCCAUAACACUUCU